AGUGUCAGAUGUGGAGCACUGUUUAAUUUUUUUGUUUUUGUUUUUUGAAGCUCUAGUAAAAUAUAGUGAAGGAGUUAGGUUAAAGUUCAUCCUUUACCUGAUCUUUUGAAUGCUUUCAACUUGACACUGAAACUGCAUAUUCUGUCUAUAUGUGAUGAACUAUGAAGAAAGGAAUUGCAGUUCUACUGAGCUCUGAAAAGAAACCUUUAGCUGACAAUUGUUAAACUGAAUAUAGCUAGAGUUGGGCGGUUCAUUGUCUUGACUUUUAAACCACUAUUGGUGCAUCUCCCUUGAUAUAUUUAUGUGAAAUUGCAGUACUACUGAGCUCCUAAAAAAGCGAUAGAUCAAUGUUAAACUGGAUAUAGAUUUGUAGAGUUGGGUGUUUAUUUUCUUGAUUUUUUUUACCACAAAUGGAGUAUUGCAAUUGAUACAUUUAUUUGAAGAUUGACUUUAUUGUUAGCUAGUGG
RNAcentral lists this unclassified non-coding RNA (467 nucleotides) under Hevea brasiliensis (rubber tree). Lineage: Eukaryota; Viridiplantae; Streptophyta; Magnoliopsida; Malpighiales; Euphorbiaceae. The record is from RNAcentral.